This 85-nucleotide transfer RNA is filed under the name Litchfieldella rifensis. RNAcentral's name for it is "tRNA-Leu". It matches the Rfam family "tRNA". From Rfam's summary of the family: Transfer RNA (tRNA) molecules are approximately 80 nucleotides in length. Their secondary structure includes four short double-helical elements and three loops (D, anti-codon, and T loops). Further hydrogen bonds mediate the characteristic L-shaped molecular structure. tRNAs have two regions of fundamental functional importance: the anti-codon, which is responsible for specific mRNA codon recognition, and the 3' end, to which the tRNAs corresponding amino acid is attached (by aminoacyl-tRNA synthetases). tRNAs cope with the degeneracy of the genetic code in two manners: having more than one tRNA (with a specific anti-codon) for a particular amino acid; and 'wobble' base-pairing, i.e. permitting non-standard base-pairing at the 3rd anti-codon position. The record is from RNAcentral. Lineage: Bacteria; Pseudomonadati; Pseudomonadota; Gammaproteobacteria; Oceanospirillales; Halomonadaceae. RNAcentral also lists the same sequence under 1 other name.
GCGGAUGUGGUGGAAUUGGUAGACACGCUGGAUUUAGGUUCCAGUGCCUUCGGGCGUGGGAGUUCAAGUCUCCCCAUCCGCACCA